UACCCGGUGUUUUUAAACACCACCUCAUUUGGGCAAGGGCUGGGUCU
Molecule: non-coding RNA, 47 nt
Organism: Gonium pectorale
Lineage: Eukaryota; Viridiplantae; Chlorophyta; Chlorophyceae; Chlamydomonadales; Volvocaceae
Source: Rfam